RNAcentral lists this ribosomal RNA (1500 nucleotides) under metagenome. Its description in RNAcentral is "bacterial SSU rRNA". It matches the Rfam family "Bacterial small subunit ribosomal RNA". The record is from RNAcentral.
AGAGUUUGAUCAUGGCUCAGAUUGAACGCUGGCGGCAGGCCUAACACAUGCAAGUCGAACGGUAACAGGAAGCAGCUUGCUGCUUCGCUGACGAGUGGCGGACGGGUGAGUAAUGUCUGGGAAGCUGCCUGAUGGAGGGGGAUAACUACUGGAAACGGUAGCUAAUACCGCAUAAUGUCGCAAGACCAAAGAGGGGGACCUUCGGGCCUCUUGCCAUCGGAUGUGCCCAGAUGGGAUUAGCUUGUUGGUGGGGUAACGGCUCACCAAGGCGACGAUCCCUAGCUGGUCUGAGAGGAUGACCAGCCACACUGGAACUGAGACACGGUCCAGACUCCUACGGGAGGCAGCAGUGGGGAAUAUUGCACAAUGGGCGCAAGCCUGAUGCAGCCAUGCCGCGUGUAUGAAGAAGGCCUUCGGGUUGUAAAGUACUUUCAGCGGGGAGGAAGGGAGUAAAGUUAAUACCUUUGCUCAUUGACGUUACCCGCAGAAGAAGCACCGGCUAACUCCGUGCCAGCAGCCGCGGUAAUACGGAGGGUGCAAGCGUUAAUCGGAAUUACUGGGCGUAAAGCGCACGCAGGCGGUUUGUUAAGUCAGAUGUGAAAUCCCCGGGCUCAACCUGGGAACUGCAUCUGAUACUGGCAAGCUUGAGUCUCGUAGAGGGGGGUAGAAUUCCAGGUGUAGCGGUGAAAUGCGUAGAGAUCUGGAGGAAUACCGGUGGCGAAGGCGGCCCCCUGGACGAAGACUGACGCUCAGGUGCGAAAGCGUGGGGAGCAAACAGGAUUAGAUACCCUGGUAGUCCACGCCGUAAACGAUGUCGACUUGGAGGUUGUGCCCUUGAGGCGUGGCUUCCGGAGCUAACGCGUUAAGUCGACCGCCUGGGGAGUACGGCCGCAAGGUUUAAACUCAAAUGAAUUGACGGGGGCCCGCACAAGCGGUGGAGCAUGUGGUUUAAUUCGAUGCAACGCGAAGAACCUUACCUGGUCUUGACAUCCACGGAAGUUUUCAGAGAUGAGAAUGUGCCUUCGGGAACCGUGAGACAGGUGCUGCAUGGCUGUCGUCAGCUCGUGUUGUGAAAUGUUGGGUUAAGUCCCGCAACGAGCGCAACCCUUAUCCUUUGUUGCCAGCGGUCCGGCCGGGAACUCAAAGGAGACUGCCAGUGAUAAACUGGAGGAAGGUGGGGAUGACGUCAAGUCAUCAUGGCCCUUACGACCAGGGCUACACACGUGCUACAAUGGCGCAUACAAAGAGAAGCGACCUCGCGAGAGCAAGCGGACCUCAUAAAGUGCGUCGUAGUCCGGAUUGGAGUCUGCAACUCGACUCCAUGAAGUCGGAAUCGCUAGUAAUCGUGGAUCAGAAUGCCACGGUGAAUACGUUCCCGGGCCUUGUACACACCGCCCGUCACACCAUGGGAGUGGGUUGCAAAAGAAGUAGGUAGCUUAACCUUCGGGAGGGCGCUUACCACUUUGUGAUUCAUGACUGGGGUGAAGUCGCAACAAGGUA